GACGAACGCUGGCGGCGUGCUUAACACAUGCAAGUCGAACGGAAAGGCCCUGCUUUUGUGGGGUGCUCGAGUGGCGAACGGGUGAGUAACACGUGAGUAACCUGCCCUUGACUUUGGGAUAACUUCAGGAAACUGGGGCUAAUACCGGAUAGGAGCUCCUGCUGCAUGGUGGGGGUUGGAAAGUUUCGGCGGUUGGGGAUGGACUCGCGGCUUAUCAGCUUGUUGGUGGGUAGUGGCUUACCAAGGCUUUGAAGGGUAGCCGGCCUGAGAGGGUGACCGGCCACAUUGGGACUGAGAUACGGCCCAGACUCCUACGGGAGGCAGCAGUGGGGAAUAUUGCACAAUGGGCGGAAGCCUGAUGCAGCAACGCCGCGUGCGGGAUGACGGCCUUCGGGUUGUAAACCGCUUUCGCCUGUGACGAAGCGUGAGUGACGGUAAUGGGUAAAGAAGCACCGGCUAACUACGUG
RNAcentral lists this ribosomal RNA (467 nucleotides) under uncultured bacterium. RNAcentral's name for it is "partial 16S ribosomal RNA". It matches the Rfam family "Bacterial small subunit ribosomal RNA", at positions 28 to 507 of the family's 1533-position model. The record is from RNAcentral.